Oncorhynchus mykiss (rainbow trout) is the source of this 1422-nucleotide non-coding RNA. The record is from RefSeq and is a predicted model, not a curated record. NCBI's taxonomy places the organism in Eukaryota, Metazoa, Chordata, Actinopteri, Salmoniformes, Salmonidae.
AACAGAGUAAUAAGAGUUUCUCAGCCCAGAGGCGCAACAUCGCGAGACUUCCGGGAACACUUGCAAAACAGACCAGGCCUGGGUUUGAGACUACAAUGGGAUACGUACAUUUUUUCCCCCUUACGCUUCGAACACUCCGACUCACCCGGAUGGACACCAACUACCGGGAGUCCAUCAGCCCAGUUGAACGCCUGGCCUUUUGUCUCCGAUUCUUGACGACAGGGGACUCCUACAGGACCAUAGGAUUCAGCUUCCGAGUUGGACGGUCCACGGUGGCAGGCAUUGUCCCCUCUGUGGCACAAGCCAUUUGGGACUGUCUGGUUGGUGAAAACAUGCCUGUCCCCAAGGAGGAAGACUGGAGGGCCAUCGCUGCCGAGUUCCUGGAGGUGGAAUUUCCCCAACUGUCUUGGCUCCAUUGACGGGAAACAUGUAGUAAUCCAGGCUCCACCGUGCUCAGGUUCGCAGUUCUACAACUACAAGGGUACAUAUUCAGUUGUACUCUUGGCUGUAGUAGAUGCCAUCUACUGUUUCCGUGUUGUCGAUGUUGGUGCUUACGGCAAGUGAAGUGAUGUCGUGACCCUCCGAGACUGCCUUUGGCCAGGCACUUCAGGAUGGCACCCUGGAUAUUCCACUACCUGCAUCACUCCCUGGGGCUGAAGACCUGGGACCUGUUCACCACGUCUUCGUCGGUGAUGAGGCCUUCCCUUUAAGACCCAACCUCAUGAGGCCCUACGCUGGACGCCAGCUGCCAUUGCCAAAGCCCGUAAGGAUCUUUAACAAACGACUGUCCAGGGCAAGGUUAGUUGUUGAAUGCGCCUUUGGGAUUCUGGCAGCCCGAUGGAGAAUGUAUUGGAGAGUGCUUGGUCUCAGCCCCUCAAAUGUUGAUGCCUGCGUGAAGGCCACAUGUGUUCUCCACAACUACCUGCGGAGGUCAUUCCAGGAGCCGCUCCGGAUGGAGAUGGGCACGCCAAAUGGUCACCUUCCUGAUGUUACCAGGGCAGGUGCCAACAACGCCCCCAGACAGGCACUGACAUUAACGUCAGUAUUAUACACACCUGGCAUGGUACGUCAGGUGAGCGGGAGCACUAAUUAAGGUUAUACGACAUACAGUUAGUAUGAUAACAAAGGGAAAGGGUAACCUAGGGUCCAUACAAAUAGUACAGUUUACCACCAUGUUCACUGGCCUGACAAAAUACAGGUGGAAAAAAAACUAAUUAGGAAGAGAAUGUGUGUUUUUACUUUCAUCUUGUCUUAGAUCAGCAAAGGUGUAGGGAAGAAAUAAGCAGAUUAAGUCUAAAUUAGAUAUUAAUAAACAACUGACUAUGAAAACAUUAUAAUUUAAUAAGUAUUCAAGUACAGGAAAGAACAUGACAGGUAUGUGUGUUGUAAAAAUGUUUUAAAAAAUAAAACUAUUGAAAUAGG